RNAcentral lists this ribosomal RNA (342 nucleotides) under bacterium PK60. RNAcentral's name for it is "bacterial SSU rRNA". It matches the Rfam family "Bacterial small subunit ribosomal RNA", at positions 128 to 477 of the family's 1533-position model. The record is from RNAcentral.
GCCUUGAGGUGGGGGACAACCAUUGGAAACGAUGGCUAAUACCGCAUAAUGUCUACGGACCAAAGGGGGCUUCGGCUCUCGCCUUUAGAUUGGCCCAAGUGGGAUUAGCUAGUUGGUGAGGUAAAGGCUCACCAAGGCGACGAUCCCUAGCUGGUUUGAGAGGAUGAUCAGCCACACUGGAACUGAGACACGGUCCAGACUCCUACGGGAGGCAGCAGUGGGGAAUAUUGCACAAUGGGCGCAAGCCUGAUGCAGCCAUGCCGCGUGUGUGAAGAAGGCCUUCGGGUUGUAAAGCACUUUCAGUCAGGAGGAAAGGUUAGUAGUUAAUACCUGCUAGCUGUG